GGUUAUGUCGUUUAAAAGGACGUUAAAUUGCAAAUUUAAAGGAGAAUAAUAUUCUUUAACCU
RNAcentral lists this transfer RNA (62 nucleotides) under Trigonopterus ancora. Its description in RNAcentral is "tRNA-Cys". Lineage: Eukaryota; Metazoa; Arthropoda; Insecta; Coleoptera; Curculionidae. The record is from RNAcentral.